Molecule: ribosomal RNA, 292 nt
Filed under: uncultured Actinomycetes bacterium
Lineage: Bacteria; Bacillati; Actinomycetota; Actinomycetes
Also listed under: 1 other name
Description: uncultured actinobacterium partial 16S ribosomal RNA
Rfam family: Bacterial small subunit ribosomal RNA
Source: RNAcentral
CGCUUGAGGAGGGGGUCGCGGCCGAUUAGCUUGUUGGCGGGGUAAUGGCCCACCAAGGCGAUGAUCGGUAUCCGGCCUGAGAGGGCGCACGGACACACUGGAACUGAAACACGGUCCAGACUCCUACGGGAGGCAGCAGUGGGGAAUUUUGCGCAAUGGGGGAAACCCUGACGCAGCAACGCCGCGUGGAGGAUGAAUUCCCUUGGGAUGUAAACUCCUUUCAAUCGGGAAGAUAAUGACGGUACCGAGAGAAGAAGCCCCGGCUAACUUCUUGCCAGCAGCCGCGGUAAUA